UUAGGUAAACGAUGCGUACUUGUUACGUAUAGGAAAGUCCAGGCUCACACAAUCUGCGAUGAUUGUAGUGUUCGUGCUAGGGGAAUAAAUAACCCUAGGUAGUUUUACUAACGGCGUCGAAAUAGUCCCUCUGGGAUUAAAUUAGACAUAAAGUGCCAAAGAGACGAGUCCAAGGAGCAAUUCUUGGAGUGGAACGUGGUAAACCCCGCGAGUGAGAAACCCAAAUUUUGGUAGGGGAGUCUUUGCUAGAAAUUGAACGAUGCAAAGGACCUUUUUAAGGUAGAUAAAUGUUUACCGCCUAUUUAUAGGUACAGAACUUGGCUUAUU
Molecule: RNase P RNA, 327 nt
Filed under: pig gut metagenome
Description: Bacterial RNase P class B
Rfam family: Bacterial RNase P class B
About the family: Ribonuclease P (RNase P) is a ubiquitous endoribonuclease, found in archaea, bacteria and eukarya as well as chloroplasts and mitochondria.
Source: RNAcentral